GAAUACUUUAAAAUACAGCGUUCAUGUUCAACUCAAUGACUGCAAGGUUCCUUGGUCUUGUGGCUGCAAAACAAGCCCAAAUCAUCAAACCUCCACCACUGUGCUUGACAGUUGGUAUGAGGUGUUUUUGCUUAUAUGCCUUUUGCCAAAUAUGGCGCUGUGCAUUAUGGCCAGACAUCUCCACUUUGGUCUCGUCUGUCCAAAGGACUUUGUUCCAGAAGUCCGGUGGUUUGUUCAGAUGCAACUUUGUUU
This is a non-coding RNA of Pelobates cultripes (western spadefoot toad), 252 nucleotides long. Lineage: Eukaryota; Metazoa; Chordata; Amphibia; Anura; Pelobatidae. The record is from the annotation of a GenBank genome assembly.